AUGGAUAGCAAGCCUUCUCCAACACCUUAUGAUCCCAGCGUGACACUCAGAAAGAACAAGAAAGAAACGAGAGAUCAAUUAAGAUACUCUCAAAUUGUCGGUUCACUCAUGUACUUAGCUAGCGCUACAAGACCAGAUAUCUUUUUUGCUGUGAGCAAACUGAGUAGGUUCAUGUCCAACCCGGGUGAUGAUCAUUGGCAUGCACUAGAAAGGGUCUUGCGCUAUCUGAGAGGUACUAUGAGUUACGGAAUUACUUAUUCAGGGCAUCCUGCUGUGCUAGAAGGAUAUAGUGAUUCAAAUUGGAUCUCCGAUGUUGAUGUACUUUACGCAACAAGUGGGUAUGUAUUUACUCAUGGUGGUGGCGCAGUGUCAUGGAGGUCUUGCAAGCAAACCAUAUUGACGAGGUCAACUAUGGAAGCAGAAUUAACUGCUUUGGCCACAGCUACUGUUGAGGCAGAAUGGCUGCGUGAGCUCUUGAUGGACUUGCCGGUUGUUGAAAAACCUGUACCGGCUAUUCUUAUGAAUUGUGAUAACCAAACGGUUAUCGCUAAAGUGAACAAUUCUAAAGAUAAUGCAAAGUCAUCAAGACACGUGAAAAGACGUUUGAAGUCUGUCAGGAAGUUGAGAAACUCCGGAGUAAUAACUAUUACGUAUAUACAAACAGACAAAAACCUGGCAGAUCCCUUUACAAAGGGACUAUCACGAAAUGUGAUAGAUAUUGCAUCGAGGGAGAUGGGUAUGAGACCCAUAGAAGAUGCUGUCCUACAGAGCAGUCUUGAAAGAACACACCUAUAUGAGUUCUGA
This 804-nucleotide ribosomal RNA is filed under the name Triticum aestivum (bread wheat). RNAcentral describes it as "partial small subunit ribosomal RNA". Lineage: Eukaryota; Viridiplantae; Streptophyta; Magnoliopsida; Poales; Poaceae. The record is from RNAcentral.